Molecule: transfer RNA, 80 nt
Filed under: Penaeus monodon (black tiger shrimp)
Lineage: Eukaryota; Metazoa; Arthropoda; Malacostraca; Decapoda; Penaeidae
Description: tRNA-Ser
Rfam family: tRNA
About the family: Transfer RNA (tRNA) molecules are approximately 80 nucleotides in length.
Source: RNAcentral
GCAGUGAUGGCCGAGUGGUUAAGGCGUCUGACUAGAAAUCAGAUGGAUCUUCCGCGUAGGUUCGAAUCCUACUCACUGCG